AGUGAACGCUGGCGGUAGGCCUAACACAUGCAAGUCGAACGGCAGCACAGGAGAGCUUGCUCUCUGGGUGGCGAGUGGCGGACGGGUGAGGAAUACAUCGGAAUCUACCUUUUCGUGGGGGAUAACGUAGGGAAACUUACGCUAAUACCGCAUAAGACCUUCGGUGAAGCCGGGACCGUCGGCCGUGGCGCGGAUAGAUGAGCCGAUGUCGGAUUAGCUUGUUGGCGGGGUAAACGGACCCACCAAGGCGACGAUCCGUAGCUGGUCUGAGAGGAUGAUCAGCCACACUGGAACUGAGACACGGUCC
RNAcentral lists this ribosomal RNA (307 nucleotides) under uncultured bacterium. RNAcentral's name for it is "bacterial SSU rRNA". It matches the Rfam family "Bacterial small subunit ribosomal RNA", at positions 29 to 332 of the family's 1533-position model. The record is from RNAcentral.